This 353-nucleotide ribosomal RNA is filed under the name uncultured bacterium. RNAcentral describes it as "bacterial SSU rRNA". It matches the Rfam family "Bacterial small subunit ribosomal RNA", at positions 335 to 705 of the family's 1533-position model. The record is from RNAcentral.
ACUCCUACGGGAGGCAGCAGUGGGGAAUAUUGCACAAUGGGCGAAAGCCUGAUGCAGCGACGCCGCGUGAGUGAAGAAGUAUUUCGGUAUGUAAAGCUCUAUCAGCAGGGAAGAAAAUGACGGUACCUGACUAAGAAGCCCCGGCUAACUACGUGCCAGCAGCCGCGGUAAUACGUAGGGGGCAAGCGUUAUCCGGAUUUACUGGGUGUAAAGGGAGCGUAGACGGCAUGGCAAGCCAGAUGUGAAAGCCCGGGGCUCAACCCCGGGACUGCAUUUGGAACUGUCAGGCUAGAGUGUCGGAGAGGAAAGCGGAAUUCCUAGUGUAGCGGUGAAAUGCGUAGAUAUUAGGAGGA